Molecule: ribosomal RNA, 465 nt
Filed under: uncultured bacterium
Lineage: Bacteria
Description: bacterial SSU rRNA
Rfam family: Bacterial small subunit ribosomal RNA
Source: RNAcentral
CCAGACUCCUACGGGAGGCAGCAGUGAGGAAUAUUGGUCAAUGGGCUUACGCCUGAACCAGCCAAGUCGCGUGAGGGAAGACUGCCCUAUGGGUUGUAAACCUCUUUUGUCAGGGAGCAACGCCGGCUACGUGUAGCCGGACUGAGAGUACCUGAAGAAAAAGCAUCGGCUAACUCCGUGCCAGCAGCCGCGGUAAUACGUAGGAGGCAAGCGUUAUCCGGAAUGACUGGGCGUAAAGGGUGCGUAGGUGGUUUGACAAGUUGGUAGCGUAACUCCGGGGCUCAACCUCGGCACUACUGCCAAAACUGUUGGACUUGAGUGCAGGAGGUGCAAAUGGAAUUCCUAGUGUAGCGGUGGAAUGCGUAGAUAUUAGGAGGAACACCAGUGGCGAAGGCGAUUUGCUGGACUGUAACUGACACUGAGGCACGAAAGCGUGGGGAGCAAACAGGAUUAGAUACCCCCGUA